Molecule: ribosomal RNA, 559 nt
Filed under: uncultured bacterium
Lineage: Bacteria
Description: bacterial SSU rRNA
Rfam family: Bacterial small subunit ribosomal RNA
Source: RNAcentral
CCUACGGGAGGCAGCAGUGGGGAAUAUUGGACAAUGGGCGAAAGCCUGAUCCAGCAAUGCCGCGUGAGUGAUGAAGGCCUUCGGGUCGUAAAGCUCUUUUACCAGGGAUGAUAAUGACAGUACCUGGAGAAUAAGCUCCGGCUAACUCCGUGCCAGCAGCCGCGGUAAUACGGAGGGAGCUAGCGUUGUUCGGAAUUACUGGGCGUAAAGAGUACGUAGGCGGUUAUUCAAGUCAGAGGUGAAAGCCCGGGGCUCAACCCCGGAACUGCCUUUGAAACUAGAUAACUAGAGUCUUGGAGAGGUUAGUGGAAUUCCGAGUGUAGAGGUGAAAUUCGUAGAUAUUCGGAAGAACACCAGUGGCGAAGGCGACUAACUGGACAAGUACUGACGCUGAGGUACGAAAGCGUGGGGAGCAAACAGGAUUAGAUACCCUGGUAGUCCACGCCGUAAACGAUGAUAACUAGUUGUUCGGUCACUUGGUGACUGAGUGACGCAGCUAACGCAUUAAGUUAUCCGCCUGGGGAGUACGGUCGCAAGAUUAAACUCAAGGAAUUGACGG